GAUGAACGCUGGCGGCGUGCCUAAUACAUGCGAGUCGAGCGAACAGACGAGGAGCUUGCUCCUCUGACGUUAGCGGCGGACGGGUGAGUAACACGUGGAUAACCUACCUAUAAGACUGGGAUAACUUCGGGAAACCGGAGCUAAUACCGGAUAAUAUAUUGAACCGCAUGGUUCAAUAGUGAAAGACGGUUUUGCUGUCACUUAUAGAUGGAUCCGCGCCGCAUUAGUUAGUUGGUAAGGUAACGGCUUACCAAGGCAACGAUGCGUAGCCGACCUGAGAGGGUGAUCGGCCACACUGGAACUGAGACACGGUCCAGACUCCUACGGGAGGCAGCAGUAGGGAAUCUUCCGCAAUGGGCGAAAGCCUGACGGAGCAACGCCGCGUGAGUGAUGAAGGUCUUCGGAUCGUAAAACUCUGUUAUUAGGGAAGAACAAAUGUGUAAGUAACUAUGCACGUCUUGACGGUACCUAAUCAGAAAGCCACGGCUAACUACGUG
Molecule: ribosomal RNA, 497 nt
Filed under: uncultured bacterium
Lineage: Bacteria
Description: partial 16S ribosomal RNA
Rfam family: Bacterial small subunit ribosomal RNA
Source: RNAcentral